UACGUAGGGUGCGAGCGUUAAUCGGAAUUACUGGGCGUAAAGCGUGCGCAGGCGGUCUGUUAAGACCGAUGUGAAAUCCCCGGGCUUAACCUGGGAACUGCAUUGGUGACUGGCAGGCUAGAGUGUGGCAGAGGGAGGUAGAAUUCCACGUGUAGCAGUGAAAUGCGUAGAGAUGUGGAGGAAUACCGAUGGCGAAGGCAGCCUCCUGGGCCAACACUGACGCUCAUGCACGAAAGCGUGGGGAGCAAACAGG
Molecule: ribosomal RNA, 253 nt
Filed under: uncultured bacterium
Lineage: Bacteria
Also listed under: 1 other name
Description: partial 16S ribosomal RNA
Rfam family: Bacterial small subunit ribosomal RNA
Source: RNAcentral